Non-coding RNA from Eptesicus fuscus (big brown bat), 66 nucleotides. The record is from RefSeq and is marked provisional. NCBI's taxonomy places the organism in Eukaryota, Metazoa, Chordata, Mammalia, Chiroptera, Vespertilionidae.
UGGUGCCUGCGUAUGCAAAUUAACCUGCCAUCUAUGUUGGGUUAAUAUGCAUACUCACUCCUGCUU